GCGGCAUUGCAUUCAUCGUCGAAAAUUCGAAUUCGCUGCUCGGUUCACUCUACUUCGCUUUCGAACUCGCCGCCUUGUUGUUCUGUUUUUGUUGUUGUCAUUCGGCUUGUAAACCGCGUGAAAGUGGUAGUGCAAUCGGGCAUCAGGUAGAGAAACAAACACACACAACAGCGGGAGAGAGGUGGAGAGAAAGACCGAGAUCACCGCAUGCCAAGAGAAGUCCCUGCAAAAAAUUACUGGAUACAAAGAUGCACUUUCUGAAAACUAUUCCGCGGUUAAGCAGUUCAGAUAAUUAAUAUAGUUCAACUCUUAAUUCUUAUAUAAAAUACUGUUGAUAGGUUUCCUAUACACAAGCUAAAUCACUAAAGCACUUUGUAUGAUUAAAUAUUAAAAAAAUUUACGAAUAUUGCAUAUAUUUAACAUAAAAUCAAAUAAAUCAACUCGAAUUGUUAGCACUGUGAAAUGAAGGAUUUUUUUCUCCGUGUGGCAUACAUACGUAAAAUAGUUGUGCAUGUACCACAAUCGAAAACGCCAAGUAGCUGCCGUGCCGCCGCAGCCUCCGCCGCUCUCUGUUCCGUUCUCUCGGCCUGGCUUUCGGUUAACCUCAGUCGGGCUCCUACAACCUCACCUCGCCAGGCGGCGCGGCAAUCAGCGCUGUGUCGUGUGGAUCGGCGGACGAACCGACGGACGGUGCUUGUGUGCUUUCCGCCAUGGUAAAGGGUGACUCCCCCCAGCUUCCUUUCCUCCGAGCUCCCCCCACUUGGAUCCCGCACUCACCAAUUCACGUUGUUUGUCUUUUGGCGCUGCGCACGCGUGGAACUGUGGUUAAGAACGUAAAGCAGCGGGCGCUAGUUUUCACUGAAGCACUAGACAUUCUACGCAAUGUAAAAUAUUUAUGUAAAAUGCAAUUUUACAGUAAAUAUUUAAAAAGUACAUUCAUGAUGAUAAGUAACAAUAAAUAAAGAUAAAAUUAAAAAUAUUUAAUGUAAUAUGUUGAGUUCCAGGAGCCCAAUUACAAACACU
Molecule: long non-coding RNA, 1023 nt
Filed under: Drosophila melanogaster (fruit fly)
Lineage: Eukaryota; Metazoa; Arthropoda; Insecta; Diptera; Drosophilidae
Description: antisense RNA:CR45270 (Dmel_CR45270)
Source: RNAcentral